Molecule: ribosomal RNA, 467 nt
Filed under: uncultured bacterium
Lineage: Bacteria
Description: partial 16S ribosomal RNA
Rfam family: Bacterial small subunit ribosomal RNA
Source: RNAcentral
GACGAACGCUGGCGGCGUGCUUAACACAUGCAAGUCGAACGGAAAGGCCCUGCUUUUGUGGGGUGCUCGAGUGGCGAACGGGUGAGUAACACGUGAGUAACCUGCCCUUGACUUUGGGAUAACUUCAGGAAACUGGGGCUAAUACCGGAUAGGAGCUCCUGCUGCAUGGUGGGGGUUGGAAAGUUUCGGCGGUUGGGGAUGGACUCGCGGCUUAUCAGCUUGUUGGUGGGGUAGUGGCUUACCAAGGCUUUGACGGGUAGCCGGCCUGAGAGGGUGACCGGCCACAUGGGGACUGAGAUACGGCCCAGACUCCUACGGGAGGCAGCAGUGGGGAAUAUUGCACAAUGGGCGGAAGCCUGAUGCAGCAACGCCGCGUGCGGGAGGACGGCCUUCGGGUGGUAAACCGCUUUCGCCUGUGACGAAGCGUGAGUGACGGUAAUGGGGAAAGAAGCACCGGCAAACUACGU